GGAGGAUGCGAGCGUUAUCCGGAUUUAUUGGGUUUAAAGGGUGCGCAGGCGGUCUGUUAAGUCAGCGGUCAAAGCCCGGGGCUCAACCCCGGCCCGCCGUUGAAACUGGCAGUCUCGAGUUGGAGAGAAGUAUGCGGAAUGCGCGGUGUAGCGGUGAAAUGCAUAGAUAUCGCGCAGAACUCCGAUUGCGAAGGCAGCAUGCCGGCUCCACACUGACGCUGAGGCACGAAAGCGUGGGUAUCGAAC
Molecule: ribosomal RNA, 246 nt
Filed under: uncultured bacterium
Lineage: Bacteria
Description: partial 16S ribosomal RNA
Rfam family: Bacterial small subunit ribosomal RNA
Source: RNAcentral